CCCCCCUCAAGAUGAGAUUUCCCAACUUCGGUUAUAAGAUCCCUCAAAGAUGAUGAGGUUAAUAGGUUCGAGGUGGAAGCAUGGUGACAUGUGGAGCUGACGAAUACUAAUCGAUCGAAGACUUAAUCAAAUU
RNAcentral lists this ribosomal RNA (133 nucleotides) under Staphylococcus sp. HMSC062H10. Its description in RNAcentral is "partial 23S ribosomal RNA". It matches the Rfam family "Bacterial large subunit ribosomal RNA", at positions 2793 to 2925 of the family's 2925-position model. The record is from RNAcentral. Lineage: Bacteria; Bacillati; Bacillota; Bacilli; Caryophanales; Staphylococcaceae.